This 465-nucleotide ribosomal RNA is filed under the name Vreelandella stevensii. RNAcentral's name for it is "partial 16S ribosomal RNA". It matches the Rfam family "Bacterial small subunit ribosomal RNA", at positions 338 to 795 of the family's 1533-position model. The record is from RNAcentral. Lineage: Bacteria; Pseudomonadati; Pseudomonadota; Gammaproteobacteria; Oceanospirillales; Halomonadaceae.
CCUACGGGCGGCAGCAGUGGGGAAUAUUGGACAAUGGGCGAAAGCCUGAUCCAGCCAUGCCGCGUGUGUGAAGAAGGCCUUCGGGUUGUAAAGCACUUUCAGUGGGGAAGAAAGCCUUGGGGCUAAUACCCUCGAGGAAGGACAUCACCCACAGAAGAAGCACCGGCUAACUCCGUGCCAGCAGCCGCGGUAAUACGGAGGGUGCGAGCGUUAAUCGGAAUUACUGGGCGUAAAGCGCGCGUAGGCGGUCUGAUAAGCCGGCUGUGAAAGCCCCGGGCUCAACCUGGGAACGGCAUCCGGAACUGUCAGGCUAGAGUGCAGGAGAGGAAGGUAGAAUUCCCGGUGUAGCGGUGAAAUGCGUAGAGAUCGGGAGGAAUACCAGUGGCGAAGGCGGCCUUCUGGACUGACACUGACGCUGAGGUGCGAAAGCGUGGGUAGCAAACAGGAUUAGAUACCCCUGUAGUC